UUACUAUCAAGAGUGGUGGAGGGACUGGCCCGAUGAAACCCAGCAACCUGCGAAAGCGAGGUGCUAAAUCCUGCAGCAAUAUUCGAAAGAAUUGGUGCUGAAAGAUAGAUG
This 111-nucleotide non-coding RNA is filed under the name Alkaliphilus metalliredigens. RNAcentral describes it as "SAM-I sequence". It matches the Rfam family "SAM riboswitch aptamer (S box leader)". Rfam says of the family: The SAM riboswitch is found upstream of a number of genes which code for proteins involved in methionine or cysteine biosynthesis in Gram-positive bacteria. The SAM riboswitch acts at the level of transcription termination control. The predicted structure consists of a complex stem-loop region followed by a single stem loop terminator region. The record is from RNAcentral. RNAcentral also lists the same sequence under 1 other name. Lineage: Bacteria; Bacillati; Bacillota; Clostridia; Peptostreptococcales; Natronincolaceae.